UACGUAGGUGACCAGCGUUGUCCGGAAUUAUUGGGCGUAAAGCGCGCGCAGGUGGUUCCUUAAGUCUGAUGUGAAAGCCCACGGCUCAACCGUGGAGGGUCAUUGGAAACUGGGGAACUUGAGUGCAGAAGAGGAAAGUGGAAUUCCAAGUGUAGCGGUGAAAUGCGUAGAGAUUUGGAGGAACACCAGUGGCGAAGGCGACUUUCUGGUCUGUAACUGACACUGAGGCGCGAAAGCGUGGGGAGCAAACAGG
RNAcentral lists this ribosomal RNA (253 nucleotides) under uncultured bacterium. RNAcentral's name for it is "partial 16S ribosomal RNA". It matches the Rfam family "Bacterial small subunit ribosomal RNA", at positions 524 to 776 of the family's 1533-position model. The record is from RNAcentral.